RNAcentral lists this ribosomal RNA (253 nucleotides) under uncultured bacterium. Its description in RNAcentral is "partial 16S ribosomal RNA". It matches the Rfam family "Bacterial small subunit ribosomal RNA", at positions 524 to 776 of the family's 1533-position model. The record is from RNAcentral.
UACGUAGGUGGCGAGCGUUGUCCGGAUUUACUGGGCGUAAAGAGCGCGCAGGCGGUCGUAUAAGUCGCGUGUGAAAGCCCCCGGCUCAACUGGGGAGGGUCACGCGAUACUGUUCGACUCGAAGGCAGGAGAGGGAAGUGGAAUUCCCGGUGUAGUGGUGAAAUGCGUAGAUAUCGGGAGGAACACCAGUGGCGAAGGCGGGUCUCUGGGCCGAUACUGACGCUGAGGAGCGAAAGCGUGGGGAGCGAACAGG